UUACCCGGCUGGGACUUAAGCAUAUCAAUUAAGCGGAGGAAAAGAAACUAACAAGGAAUUCCCCUAGUAACUGCGAGUGAAAGCGGGAAAAAGCUCAAAUUUAAAAUCUGGCGGUCUUCUGGCCGUCCGAGUUGUAGUCUGGAGAAGCGUUUUCCGCGUUGGACCGUGUACAAGUUUCCUGGAACGGAGCGUCAUAGAGGGUGAGAAUCCCGUCUUUGACACGGAUCCCAAUGCUUUGUGAUGCGCUCUCAAAGAGUCGAGUUGUUUGGGAAUGCAGCUCAAAAUGGGUGGUGAAUUCCAUCUAAAGCUAAAUAUUGGCGAGAGACCGAUAGCGAACAAGUACCGUGAGGGAAAGAUGAAAAGCACUUUGGAAAGAGAGUUAAACAGUACGUGAAAUUGUUGAAAGGGAAACGCUUGAAGUCAGUCGCGUCGGCCGGGACUCAGCCUUGCAUCCGCUUGGUGUACUUUCCGGUCGACGGGCCAGCAUCAGUUUUGACCGCGAGAUAAAGGCGGAGGGAAUGUGGCUCUCUCGGGAGUGUUAUAGCCCUUCGUCAGAUGUCGCGGUUGGGACUGAGGAACUCAGCACGCCUUUAUGGCCGGGGCUCGCCCACGUACGUGCUUAGGAUGCUGGCGUAAUGGCUUUAAACGACCCGUCUUGAAACACGGACCAAGGAGUCUAACAUGCCUGCGAGUGUUCGGGUGGAAAACCCGUGCGCGCAAUGAAAGUGAAAGUUGGGAUCCCUGUCGUGGGGUGCACCGACGCCCGGCCCAGACCUUUUUGUGACGGAGCUGCGGUAGAGCAUGUAUGUUGGGACCCGAAAGAUGGUGAACUAUGCCCUGAAUAGGGUGAAGCCAGAGGAAACUCUGGUGGAGGCUCGUAGCGAUUCUGACGUGCAAAUCGAUCGUCAAAUUUGGGUAUAGGGGGUGAAAGACUAAUUCGAAACCAUCUAGUAGCUGGGUUCCUGCCGAAGUCCUCCUCUCUCAGGGAA
RNAcentral lists this ribosomal RNA (989 nucleotides) under Stereum hirsutum. RNAcentral's name for it is "LSU rRNA". It matches the Rfam family "Eukaryotic large subunit ribosomal RNA", at positions 21 to 980 of the family's 3401-position model. Lineage: Eukaryota; Fungi; Basidiomycota; Agaricomycetes; Russulales; Stereaceae. The record is from RNAcentral.